This 450-nucleotide ribosomal RNA is filed under the name uncultured bacterium. RNAcentral's name for it is "partial 16S ribosomal RNA". It matches the Rfam family "Bacterial small subunit ribosomal RNA", at positions 338 to 785 of the family's 1533-position model. The record is from RNAcentral.
CCUACGGGUGGCAGCAGUGAGGAAUAUUGGUCAAUGGGCGCGAGCCUGAACCAGCCAAGUCGCGUGAGGGAAGACGGUCCUAUGGAUUGUAAACCUCUUUUGUCGGGGAGCAAAAGACGCCACGCGUGGCGUUCCGAGAGUACCCGAAGAAAAAGCAUCGGCUAACUCCGUGCCAGCAGCCGCGGUAAUACGGAGGAUGCGAGCGUUAUCCGGAUUUAUUGGGUUGAAAGGGUGCGCAGGCGGAAGAUCAAGUCAGAGGUGAAAUUGAGAGGCUCAACCCCGUCGAGGCGUUGGAACAUGGUUUUCUAGAGGGUAGUAGAGGGAUGCGGAAUGGGGUGGGUAGCGGUGAACUGAGUAGAUAGAAGGAAGAACACCGAUGGCGAAGGCAGAAUACCGGACGCCAACGGACGGUGAGGCAAGAAAGUGUGGGUAGAAAACAGGAUUAGAUAC